GUACCUGGUUGAUCCUGCCAGUAGUGAUAUGCUUGUUUCAAAGAUUAAGCCAUGCAUGUCUAAGUAUAAGCGAACUUAUACAGUGAAACUGCGGAUGGCUCAUUAAAACAGUUUGAAUUUAUUUGAUGGAUGUACGCGAGUACUACAUGGAUAUCCGUAGUAAUUCUAGAGCUAAUACAUGCAGGAACGCCCGACCCUCGCGGAAGGGCUGUAUUUAUUGGAUACAAAAACCAAACCUGGCAACAGGUUUCGUUUGUUGAUUCACAAUAACUGAUCGGACCGUUGCCUCGGCAGCGGCAGGUCAUUCAACAUUCUGCCCUAUCAGCUUUCGAUGGUUGUGUAGUGGACAACCAUGGCCGCAACGGGUAACGGAGAAUCGGGGUUCGAUUCCGGAGAGGGAGCUUGAGAAUUGGCUACCACAUCUAAGGAAGGCAGCAGGCGCGCAAAUUACCCAAUCCUGACUCAGGGAGGUAGUGACAAAAA
Molecule: ribosomal RNA, 483 nt
Filed under: Plasmodiophora brassicae
Lineage: Eukaryota; Endomyxa; Phytomyxea; Plasmodiophorida; Plasmodiophoridae
Description: SSU rRNA
Rfam family: Eukaryotic small subunit ribosomal RNA
Source: RNAcentral